AUCUUGGGCAACCUUGCAAGAGAGAUUUUGAAGAUGGUGACAUUUCUAUAAACCAUGGUUACAUUGAGAAGAUCCCCCAACCCUAUACAACCACCUAUUGAACUUUACAUGAGCAAGAAAUCAGGCAUAAGGCAGAGGGUUUGGAAUCCAUACCAAAAGGAGGGAAAAACAACUCUACUUGGACACAGAGCAGUCCAGGUCACCGUGCCCAGGAGUUCAAGUCCUACUUCCCAGCUCUUGUACCACUUCCCAACUCUUGUCUGUUAGGAACAAGAGUAGUCAGAACCAGGGACCUGAUGAGCCCCUGGAGCCAAGAGGGGAGCCAGGCCGCU
This is a long non-coding RNA of Myotis lucifugus (little brown bat), 332 nucleotides long. RefSeq lists it as uncharacterized. The record is from RefSeq and is a predicted model, not a curated record. The transcript is spliced from 3 exons. Lineage: Eukaryota; Metazoa; Chordata; Mammalia; Chiroptera; Vespertilionidae.